RNAcentral lists this ribosomal RNA (425 nucleotides) under uncultured bacterium. RNAcentral describes it as "partial 16S ribosomal RNA". It matches the Rfam family "Bacterial small subunit ribosomal RNA", at positions 354 to 796 of the family's 1533-position model. The record is from RNAcentral.
GUGGGGAAUCUUGCGCAAUGGGCGAAAGCCUGACGCAGCCAUGCCGCGUGAAUGAUGAAGGUCUUAGGAUUGUAAAAUUCUUUCACCGGGGACGAUAAUGACGGUACCCGGAGAAGAAGCUCCGGCUAACUUCGUGCCAGCAGCCGCGGUAAUACGAAGGGGGCUAGCGUUGCUCGGAAUUACUGGGCGUAAAGGGCGCGUAGGCGGACAGCUUAGUCAGAGGUGAAAGCCCAGGGCUCAACCUUGGAAUUGCCUUUGAUACUGGCUGUCUUGAGUUUGGGAGAGGUGAGUGGAACUCCGAGUGUAGAGGUAAAAUUCGUAGAUAUUCGGAAGAACACCAGUGGCGAAGGCGACUCACUGGCCCAAUACUGACGCUGAGGCGCGAAAGCGUGGGGAGCAAACAGGAUUAGAUACCCUAGUAGUCC